Clupea harengus (Atlantic herring) is the source of this 378-nucleotide long non-coding RNA. NCBI's taxonomy places the organism in Eukaryota, Metazoa, Chordata, Actinopteri, Clupeiformes, Clupeidae. The record is from Ensembl.
CAUAAUUUUGUGCAUCAAAAUCGCCCAAAUUCCCUUGUAUUUUGCCCUGCAAGGCUGUAUUUCUUUCUAAUAAACACAACAACGAUGCAAUGAUGAACAAGCAUUCAUUAAAAAACUAAGAAAAUGUCACGUCUGUGCUGAACUCCGCUCUGGCCACGCCCCCCUGUCCAACGGCCUGUAAAAUUAAUUCGCUCAUCUUCCCAAUCGCCUGCAAAUAAUGUUUUUUUUAGUCUUCUGUUCUGUUGAUGGCUGGCAAACAACAACAUUAGAAGAAUAAAAUCUCCACGGGGUGAACAUCUGCAGGUAAAUGAUAGAACAUGUGUUUCCAACCUUUUCAGGAGCAACGGUACUGUCAUGGUCAUCAAACUUUAAUCAGAG